This 497-nucleotide ribosomal RNA is filed under the name uncultured bacterium. RNAcentral describes it as "partial 16S ribosomal RNA". It matches the Rfam family "Bacterial small subunit ribosomal RNA", at positions 28 to 507 of the family's 1533-position model. The record is from RNAcentral.
GAUGAACGCUGGCGGCGUGCCUAAUACAUGCAAGUCGAGCGAACGGACGAGAAGCUUGCUUCUCUGAUGUUAGCGGCGGACGGGUGAGUAACACGUGGAUAACCUACCUAUAAGACUGGGAUAACUUCGGGAAACCGGAGCUAAUACCGGAUAAUAUUUUGAACCGCAUGGUUCAAAAGUGAAAGACGGUCUUGCGGUCACUUAUAGAUGGAUCCGCGCUGCAUUAGCUAGUUGGUAAGGUAACGGCUUACCAAGGCAACGAUGCAUAGCCGACCUGAGAGGGGGAUCGGCCACACUAGAACGGAGACACGCUCCAGACUCCUGCGAGAGGCAGCAGUAGGGAAUCUUCCGCAAUGGGCGGAAACCUGACGGAGCAAGGCCGCGUGAGUGAUGAAGAUCUUCGGAUCGUAAAACUCUGUUAUUAGGGAAGAACAUAUGUGUAAGUAACUGUGGACAUCUUGACGGUACCUAAUCAGAAAGCCACGGCUAACUACGUG